CCUGCCCCUAGAAGCAUUGCAUGUGUAGCUGCUAUGUUACAUGUUUGUCAGUAGGUGGCAGAGAGGAGAGAUGUUAUGCCUAUGCUCAGUGUUCAGACCUGUGAACAUCUGAAUGAUUUGUAGCCUAACAUU
Molecule: small nucleolar RNA, 132 nt
Organism: Arvicanthis niloticus (Nile rat)
Lineage: Eukaryota; Metazoa; Chordata; Mammalia; Rodentia; Muridae
Product: small nucleolar RNA SNORA17
Source: RefSeq, a predicted model, not a curated record